AUCCAGCUGACGAGUCCCAAAUAGGACGAAAUGGGCAUCCUGACUGGAU
Non-coding RNA from Trichobilharzia regenti, 49 nucleotides. NCBI's taxonomy places the organism in Eukaryota, Metazoa, Platyhelminthes, Trematoda, Strigeidida, Schistosomatidae. The record is from Rfam.